This 254-nucleotide ribosomal RNA is filed under the name uncultured bacterium. RNAcentral's name for it is "partial 16S ribosomal RNA". It matches the Rfam family "Bacterial small subunit ribosomal RNA", at positions 524 to 776 of the family's 1533-position model. The record is from RNAcentral.
UACGGAGGGUGCGAGCGUUGUCCGGAAUCAUUGGGCGUAAAGGGCGCGUAGGUGGCCCGGUCAGUUCGUGGUGAAAGCGCGGGGCUCAACCCUGCGUCGGCCAUGAAUACUGCCGCGGCUGGAGCACUGUAGAGGCAGGCGGAAUUCCGGGUGUAGCGGUGGAAUGCGUAGAGAUCGGGAGGAACAUCUGUGGCGAAGGCGGCCACCUGGACCAGCACUGACACUGAGGCACGAAAGCGUGGGGAGCAAACAGG